Molecule: ribosomal RNA, 328 nt
Filed under: uncultured bacterium
Lineage: Bacteria
Description: bacterial SSU rRNA
Rfam family: Bacterial small subunit ribosomal RNA
Source: RNAcentral
UGCGUAGGUGGUUAGGUAAGACCUGUGGGAAAGACCUGGGCUUAACCCAGGAAGGUCGCAGGUGACUGCCUGGCUAGAGGGCGGGAGAGGAGCGCGGAAUUCCCGGUGUAGCGGUGAAAUGCGUAGAGAUCGGGAGGAAGGCCGGUGGCGAAGGCGGCGCUCUGGAACGUUCCUGACACUGAGGCACGAAAGCGUGGGGAGCAAACAGGAUUAGAUACCCUGGCAGUCCACGCCCUAAACGAUGGGUACUAAGUGUCGGCGGGUUACCGCCGGUGCCGCACCUAACGGAGUAAGUACCCCGCCUGGGGAGUACGGCCGCAAGGUUGAA